GUUUUGUGAUCAAGGGUUGUUGUUGCCUUUCUUUCUCGUUGGAUCACUUGAGAGAAGAUUUUAACGUCACGUCUUCACCAUUCAACACCGGUUUCAAUUAGUGGAGAAGAGGAAUAGGGAAACAGUUUCAAGUGGCGUUUUUGGUGAUCAAUUUCCCGUCGCAUCUGAACGAACCAGAACACGAUUUUGGUGUCGUUGGAUAGAUCUCGCUGCAAGGAAGAAGUAGCAGUUUACAGUUCUUCAUUACGAGAUUCAGGUUGGACUUUUGGAGAAGAUAUUUGGGUUAACUCUGAUCGUUUUAGGACAAGUUGACGGUGGUUACUAAUAGAGCGAGUGUCAGGGAAGACACCAAAGUCUUCAAAGUUACUAGAAAAGUUUCAGAUUGUUGCAAGCCGUUUUAAGUCUCUAUCUUCUAGUUCUCAGUUCAGUCCAAAGUCAGGUGAGGGUGUGAUCUGCGGGAAUUCGACUACAAGUGCUACUCUUAUACUUCAUUAUUCUUUUGCAUAGGGUUAGAUUUCCUUGUGAACUAGUAUUUUCUUGAUAAUUAGGAAUUGAUAAUUUGAUGAGUGUUGAAUGUUUUAGGUGAUUGAUUUAAUGUCUUAGGAAUGACUAUUUAAGAUGUAUAAUAUGUGAGAUGAGAUUACCAUCCUUAGGGAUGAUGAAAGAG
Molecule: long non-coding RNA, 667 nt
Organism: Capsella rubella
Lineage: Eukaryota; Viridiplantae; Streptophyta; Magnoliopsida; Brassicales; Brassicaceae
Exons: 4
Source: RefSeq, a predicted model, not a curated record